AACUUUUGACAAUGGAUCUCUUGGCUCUCGCAUCGAUGAAGAACGCAGCGAAAUGCGAUAAGUAAUGUGAAUUGCAGAAUUCAGUGAAUCAUCGAAUCUGUGAACGCACCUUGCACCCUUUGGCAUUCCGAAGGGUACGCUCGUUUGAGUGUCAUUGUACUCUCACACUCCCGAUGCUUUUGGAUUGGGAGUGGUGGACUUGGGUGUUGCUGCUUUACUGUGGCUAACCUCAAAUGGAGUAGUGCAACUCUUGGUUGGACAUAGUACGGCGUGAUAAGUGUCUUCGCCGGCGCCUCAUUAGAGGGUGGCCGAUCGGGAGCUCUGUGCUUCAAACCGUCUUCGGACAACAUCUGACAACUUGACCUCAAAUCGAGUAGGACUACCCGCUGAACUUAAGCAUAUCAUAAGCGGAGGCU
RNAcentral lists this unclassified non-coding RNA (416 nucleotides) under uncultured Sebacina. RNAcentral describes it as "sequence contains ITS2". The stretch from base 1 to 154 matches the Rfam family "5.8S ribosomal RNA". Lineage: Eukaryota; Fungi; Basidiomycota; Agaricomycetes; Sebacinales; Sebacinaceae. The record is from RNAcentral.